UUAAGUUAGAGCAGGCUGCAAACCCUCCACCUGGAAAUGUGUCUGCACUGCUGUCACCAGCCUGCCUGGGUCUCGGCUCCGUCCUUCCCUUGGUGUGUCCUGGGGUAGGCAUUGAAUGAGAAAACCAUGGUUGCAGAGACAACACAUCCUUUCCUUGAACAGUGUGCACUUGAGGAACGAAUUAAGACCCGUAAACAAGGAUGAAAGCCACCGCCAUGCAGACUUCAGCUCCUCCUCCAUGAAGGACGCCGCCUGGGAGGUGAGUCCAGGCCGGGCCAGGGAGGGCCUCCUGCGGGAAGGUGCAUUUUCACCUUACAGCUGGAAAGUAGACAGCUGCGUCACAGUUUCACUCAUGCCGGUCUCUUCCUGUGCACAUUCAAUGUUAACAUUAUUCUGGCAAAAGCCUUGCUGCAGAUAGUCUCUCCGGUCCCUCCUACAUCUCUUUCCAGAAGACAGUUUAAAAGGACACAUUUCAUCACCUCUCAGAAGGGGUUAACAUCACAGAAUUCCAAGUCUGAGGGUGGAGCCCUGAUCCCAAGAAGGUUUUGUUGAGUUCAGGACAGUAUUUCUUUACCCAUCCUUCAUGAAGAUAAAAAAUGAGGCAAAAUAGACACUAAAAUGGUCUCUGACAUCUCCUCAUGCCACCAGACAAGGAGUAACCAUGGUAACCAGAAGCCUAGAAAAAUUGGGGAAUGAGGAAGACCAGGAAUGAGAGCUCCCCUCAGCCCUGGGGGGACCUGAGUGUCCACAGCUGAGCCUUCUCUGCUUCCCUCUUCUCUUCCGGAUUCUGAUGGAGGAUAUUUUCAUCUUCCUCCCAAAAUCAUCAGAAAGCAUAAGGACAUAUAUAAACCGCUUUGCAAAAAGAGAGUGUAUGGAAUAAAAGAGAAAAUGAAGAAGAGGAGAAAGGCUGGAGUGCAAUGGUGUGAUCUCAGCUCACUGCAGCCUCAACCUCCCUGGCUCAGGUGAUUCUCCCACCUCAGCUUCCUGAUUAACUGGGAUUACAGGAGCUGGGAGAUGGGAACGUCACUAGACCACGAGCCGGAAUUGCUGCAGAAGGAUUCCCACACUCUGGGCCUCCGUGGGCACCACGAGUACUGGAUGUGCGACCCCAGCUCUCUGGGUCUCAGUUUCGUCUCCUGCAGAGCAUCUGAGCUAGACCGUCUCUAAAAUUUCAUCAAGCUCCUGUGUUCCAUUCUAUUCUGAGAUGCCCAAUUCUUAUGCCUGCUAAAAACCACAGUGAGAAAUAAUAACCUAUGUCCAAAUUUUUGUUUCCUAGGAGAAAUAUCAACAUGCGUCUGCCAAAUAAAAUAUUGUAUUAAAUGA
Pan troglodytes (chimpanzee) is the source of this 1323-nucleotide long non-coding RNA. RefSeq lists it as uncharacterized. Lineage: Eukaryota; Metazoa; Chordata; Mammalia; Primates; Hominidae. The transcript has 3 exons. The record is from RefSeq and is a predicted model, not a curated record.